Non-coding RNA from Misgurnus anguillicaudatus (oriental weatherfish), 872 nucleotides. The record is from RefSeq and is a predicted model, not a curated record. NCBI's taxonomy places the organism in Eukaryota, Metazoa, Chordata, Actinopteri, Cypriniformes, Cobitidae.
UUUAUUAUUUUAUUUUACAUGUGUUUAAAAUGUAUUUACUUUAUUUGUUGUUGGAAUCGCGACAUUCUUGCGGGUAACUUAACGUUAGAGCAAGUAACCCAUGUUUUAUAAAACCUAAACAGUACAACCUGCAAUGUAAUAAAAUAGUGGAGGUAAAUGAGUCUAUGUAACGUUACACUGAAGAUUUACAUAAGUGAUUUGUAGGCUGCUUUUUAGUAACAGCAGUAACUUAGCUAAGUUAUCACUGUGUUGCUUACAGUAAUGUAGGCAGUUGUGCUUUACAAUUAUGCAUACAGAGAGAGAUUGUGGGGGAAAGCUAUUUUUCCAUAUGGAUUUAACUCACAGGCCUUCAGUUUGUUGGAAAAAAGAUUUUUAUUGUGUUAGUGAGGGAAAACUUGCAGGUCAGUGGGCAUUAGCCUUAAAGGUUGGUAAACACUUGUACACUGAAGCAUACAAUACUGUACAAUUACUGACAUAGGCAUGUGCUAUUCAGGCGUCAAAGCUGUGUGAAACUGGAGGGAGAAACUUGAGAGACCGUGCCGGAAGAAUGCUGGACAGAGUUCCAUAAAAUUCAUUAAUUUCAAAGUUCCACAUGAAUGGUGGUGGUCCACUGCAGAAGCAAGCAUUUGAAAAAACAUCAGUUCUCAGUUAUUAAAGAUGCUGUGUUGAACAACUUUCCAGCAGCAACAGAACUGGAAGUGAAGGUUGCAAUGGGGGCAUUUCAAACAGGCACCAGGGAGGACAUGGUGUAUAGAAAUUAGUACAAUUAAGUUGAAGUGAACUGAAGAUAGUUUGUUAAUGUUUAGAUGUUAUUUCAUUUUUAAAAUUGUAUUUUGUUAUUUAUGCUUUUAUUUUGUUACUGUUGUUAUUCU